Molecule: small nucleolar RNA, 140 nt
Organism: Nannospalax galili (Upper Galilee mountains blind mole rat)
Lineage: Eukaryota; Metazoa; Chordata; Mammalia; Rodentia; Spalacidae
Source: Ensembl
UGCAUUGCAUGGAACCUGCGCUCAGCAGUUCAUGCCUGCUGGUAUGUUCAAAGAACAGUGUGAUAGAAAUUCACUAUCCGGCAUUGUUGGCUUUCUUGGCUGUGGUGCCUAUUAAAUCUGGUAUUUCUAUUGCUACAGUU